CCUACGGGCGACAGCAGUGGGGAAUAUUGGGCAAUGGGCGCAAGCCUGACCCAGCAACGCCGCGUGAAGGAAGAAGGCCCUCGGGUUGUAAACUUCUUUUGUCAGGGACGAAACAAAUGACGGUACCUGACGAAUAAGCCACGGCUAACUACGUGCCAGCAGCCGCGGUAAUACGUAGGUGGCAAGCGUUAUCCGGAUUUACUGGGUGUAAAGGGCGUGUAGGCGGGAGAGCAAGUCAGAUGUGAAAUUCCAGGGCUCAACCCUGGAACUGCAUUUGAAACUGUUUUUCUUGAGUGAUGGAGAGGCAGGUGGAAUUCCGUGUGGAGCGGUGAAAUGCGUAGAUAUAAGGAGGAACACCAGUGGCGAAGGCGGCCUGCUGGACAUUAACUGACGUUGAGGCGCGAAAGCGUGGGGAGCAAACAGGAUUAGAUACCCUUGUAGUC
This 443-nucleotide ribosomal RNA is filed under the name uncultured bacterium. RNAcentral's name for it is "partial 16S ribosomal RNA". It matches the Rfam family "Bacterial small subunit ribosomal RNA", at positions 338 to 795 of the family's 1533-position model. The record is from RNAcentral.